RNAcentral lists this unclassified non-coding RNA (240 nucleotides) under uncultured fungus. RNAcentral's name for it is "sequence contains ITS1". Lineage: Eukaryota; Fungi. The record is from RNAcentral.
AUAUUAUAUUAAUGGCCUUGCGGCACAAGCACGUUCAGCAUUAUUGACAGCGUAUAGUAAUUUAAAGGAAUGCAAGAUGAUCACCAAAAGGCGGCAAAUCAACUUAAUUCCCUCAAAAAUGUGCACAGGUGUUUGGAAUAUGAUUGUCAGGGCAAGCACAUGCAUCCAAAAAAAUUGGCUGCCAGCAUCAAACCCCAUCACAACUCAUUAAUGAUCCUUCCGCAGGUUCACCUACGGAAA